Molecule: ribosomal RNA, 254 nt
Filed under: uncultured bacterium
Lineage: Bacteria
Description: partial 16S ribosomal RNA
Rfam family: Bacterial small subunit ribosomal RNA
Source: RNAcentral
UACGGGGGGAGCAAGCGUUGUUCGGAUUUACUGGGCGUAAAGGGCGCGUAGGCGGCCACCGCAAGUCGACUGUGAAAUCUCUGGGCUUAACCCAGAACGGUCAGCCGAUACUGCGGGGCUAGAGUGCAGAAGGGGCAACUGGAAUUCUCAGUGUAGCGGUGAAAUGCGUAGAUAUCGAGAGGAACACCUGCGGCGAAGGCGGGUUGCUGGGCUGACACUGACGCUGAGGCGCGAAAGCUAGGGGAGCGAACGGG